GGUUGUGGCUCAGUGGUAGAGCACUUAUCUCAAAUGUGUGAGGCCCUGGGUUCAAUCCUCAGCACCA
RNAcentral lists this transfer RNA (67 nucleotides) under Ictidomys tridecemlineatus (thirteen-lined ground squirrel). Its description in RNAcentral is "Spermophilus tridecemlineatus (thirteen-lined ground squirrel) tRNA". It matches the Rfam family "tRNA". From Rfam's summary of the family: Transfer RNA (tRNA) molecules are approximately 80 nucleotides in length. Their secondary structure includes four short double-helical elements and three loops (D, anti-codon, and T loops). The record is from Rfam by way of RNAcentral. Lineage: Eukaryota; Metazoa; Chordata; Mammalia; Rodentia; Sciuridae.